Molecule: ribosomal RNA, 253 nt
Filed under: uncultured bacterium
Lineage: Bacteria
Description: partial 16S ribosomal RNA
Rfam family: Bacterial small subunit ribosomal RNA
Source: RNAcentral
UACGAAGGGGGCUAGCGUUGCUCGGAAUCACUGGGCGUAAAGCGCACGUAGGCGGCUUUUUAAGUCAGGGGUGAAAUCCUGGAGCUCAACUCCAGAACUGCCUUUGAUACUGAGAAGCUUGAGUCCGGGAGAGGUGAGUGGACCUGCGAGUGUAGAGGUGAAAUUCGUAGAUAUUCGCAAGAACACCAGUGGCGAAGGCGGCUCACUGGCCCGGUACUGACGCUGAGGUGCGAAAGCGUGGGGAGCAAACAGG